GUCACAGCACGUUGACAGAAUUUGGGAAUUUUUUAUGAUUACCUACAUGCCCAUAUUUGAUAUAUUAUACUUGUGUUUUCAAUCCCUUUAAGGGAUAUUGUCCUUUUUUGAUUUUAUUUUCUAAUUGGCCAUUAGAAUUUUAAUGUAAGAUCCCUAAUACAGCUUUUUACAUUCACCUAUUUGGGCUGUUGGUUCCUGCAUACAGGAGUGUAGUCCUCAACUACACAACGUGCUGUGACAGAGCCGAUAUAGAGGCUCCACCUUUGUGAGUACAUUGUUUACUACUUUAUAUUGGAUCACUGGUUAUUGGAU
This is a non-coding RNA of Pelobates cultripes (western spadefoot toad), 312 nucleotides long. The record is from the annotation of a GenBank genome assembly. Lineage: Eukaryota; Metazoa; Chordata; Amphibia; Anura; Pelobatidae.